UUGCUCCCUUCGGCAGAAAGUAUUCUAAAAUUGGAAACAUACAGAGAAAAUUAGCAUGGCACCUUUGCAAGGAUGACAACCAAAUUUGUAAAGCGUUCCAUAUUUUU
Molecule: small nuclear RNA, 107 nt
Organism: Myotis lucifugus (little brown bat)
Lineage: Eukaryota; Metazoa; Chordata; Mammalia; Chiroptera; Vespertilionidae
Source: Ensembl